CCUACGGGGGGCAGCAGUGGGGGAUAUUGCACAUUGGGGGAAACCCUGAUGCAGCGACGCCGCGUGGGCGAAGAAGUAUUUCGGUAUGUAAAGCCCUAUCAGCAGGGAAGAAGAAAUGACGGUACCUGAGUAAGAAGCACCGGCCAAAUACGUGCCAGCAGCCGCGGUAAUACGUAGGGUGCAAGCGUUAUCCGGAUGUACUGGGUGUAAAGGGAGCGCAGGCGGUACGGCAAGCCUGAUGUGAAAGCCCGCGGCUCAACCGCGGGACUGCAUUGGGAACUACCGGGCUGGAGUGCCGGAGAGGUAGGCGGAAUUCCUAGUGUAGCGGGGAAAUGCGUAGAUAUUAGGAGGAACACCAGUGGCGAAGGCGGCUUACUGGACGGUGACUGACGCUGAGGCUCGAAAGCGUGGGGAGCAAACAGGAUUAGAUACCCGUGUAGUC
Molecule: ribosomal RNA, 442 nt
Filed under: uncultured bacterium
Lineage: Bacteria
Description: partial 16S ribosomal RNA
Rfam family: Bacterial small subunit ribosomal RNA
Source: RNAcentral